Molecule: unclassified non-coding RNA, 361 nt
Filed under: soil metagenome
Description: partial contains 5.8S ribosomal RNA, internal transcribed spacer 2, and large subunit ribosomal RNA
Rfam family: 5.8S ribosomal RNA (bases 1-120)
Source: RNAcentral
GAUGAAGAACGUAGCGAAAUGCGAUAAGUAGUGUGAAUUGCAGAAUUCAGUGAAUCAUCGAAUCUUUGAACGCACAUUGCGCCCGCCGGUAUUCCGGCGGGCAUGCCUGUCCGAGCGUCAUUUCACCACUCAAGCCCAGCUUGGUGUUGGGGCACCCGGCCGCCUGGCGGCCGGGGCCCCCAAGUACAUCGGCGGUCCCGCUGGGGGCACCGAGCGCAGUAGCUCGCGGUAAAACGCGCCCUCGCUCGGCGGCCUCUUCGGGCUUCCAGCCGCUAAACCCGCGUCCACCGACGCCCUUUCGAGUUGACCUCGGAUCAGGUAGGAAUACCCGCUGAACUUAAGCAUAUCAAUAAGCGGAGGA